Molecule: ribosomal RNA, 301 nt
Filed under: uncultured bacterium
Lineage: Bacteria
Description: partial 16S ribosomal RNA
Rfam family: Bacterial small subunit ribosomal RNA
Source: RNAcentral
CAGCAGCCGCGGUAAUACGUAGGUGGCAAGCGUUGUCCGGAAUUAUUGGGCGUAAAGGGCUCGCAGGCGGUUUCUUAAGUCUGAUGUGAAAGCCCCCGGCUCAACCGGGGAGGGUCAUUGGAAACUGGGAAACUUGAGUGCAGAAGAGGAGAGUAGAAUUCCACGUGUAGCGGUGAAAUGCGUAGAGAUGUGGAGGAACACCAGAGGCGAAGGCGACUCUCUGGUCUGUAACUGACGCUGAGGAGCGAAAGCGUGGGGAGCGAACAGGAUUAGAUACCCCGGUAGUCCUUGUCUCUUAUAC